CAAGGAAUUUUCCGCAAUGGGGGCAACCCUGACGGAGCAACGCCGCGUGCGGGAUGACGCUUUUCGGAGUGUAAACCGCUUUUCUUGGGGAGGAUGGAGGACAGUACCCGAGGAAGAAGGCCCGGCUAACUACGUGCCAGCAGCCGCGGUAAUACGUAGGGGCCGAGCGUUGUCCGGAGUUAUUGGGCGUAAAGCGCGCGCAGGCGGCUUCGCGCGCCCGACGUGAAAGCCCCCGGCUUAACCGGGGAGAGUCGUUGGGGACGGCGGAGCUUGAGGGCGGGAGAGGUCGGUGGAAUUCCCGGUGUAGUGGUGAAAUGCGUAGAGAUCGGGAGGAACACCUGUGGCGAAGGCGGCCGACUGGGCCGACCCUGACGCUGAGGCGCGAAGGCGUGGGGAGCGAACGG
Molecule: ribosomal RNA, 404 nt
Filed under: uncultured bacterium
Lineage: Bacteria
Description: bacterial SSU rRNA
Rfam family: Bacterial small subunit ribosomal RNA
Source: RNAcentral